This 605-nucleotide ribosomal RNA is filed under the name uncultured bacterium. RNAcentral's name for it is "bacterial SSU rRNA". The stretch from base 1 to 525 matches the Rfam family "Bacterial small subunit ribosomal RNA", at positions 338 to 873 of the family's 1533-position model. The record is from RNAcentral.
CCUACGGGAGGCAGCAGUGGGGAAUAUUGCACAAUGGGCGCAAGCCUGAUGCAGCAACGCCGCGUGAGGGACGACGGCCUUCGGGUUGUAAACCUCUUUUAGUAGGGAAGAAGCGAAAGUGACGGUACCUGCAGAAAAAGCACCGGCUAACUACGUGCCAGCAGCCGCGGUAAUACGUAGGGUGCAAGCGUUAUCCGGAAUUAUUGGGCGUAAAGAGCUCGUAGGCGGUUUGUCGCGUCUGCUGUGAAAACUGGAGGCUCAACCUCCAGCCUGCAGUGGGUACGGGCAGACUAGAGUGCGGUAGGGGAGAUUGGAAUUCCUGGUGUAGCGGUGGAAUGCGCAGAUAUCAGGAGGAACACCGAUGGCGAAGGCAGAUCUCUGGGCCGUAACUGACGCUGAGGAGCGAAAGCAUGGGGAGCGAACAGGAUUAGAUACCCUGGUAGUCCAUGCCGUAAACGUUGGGAACUAGAUGUAGGGACCAUUCCACGGUUUCUGUGUCGCAGCUAACGCAUUAAGUUCCCCGCCUGGGGGAGGACGGCCGCGAGACGUAAACUAACGAAAGUAGAGUAGUAGAGAGAGACGAGACGACGACGACGAGAGGAGAG